This 486-nucleotide ribosomal RNA is filed under the name uncultured bacterium. RNAcentral describes it as "partial 16S ribosomal RNA". It matches the Rfam family "Bacterial small subunit ribosomal RNA", at positions 28 to 507 of the family's 1533-position model. The record is from RNAcentral.
GAUGAACGCUGGCGGCGUGCCUAAUACAUGCAAGUCGAACGCUGGAAAUCUAGCUUGCUCGCUUGAAGGAGUGGCGAACGGGUGAGUAAUACAUAAGCAACCUACCCACGAAGACUGGGAUAAUCUCUGGAAACGGGGACUAAUACCGGAUAGGUAAUCGGAAGGCAUCUUCUGAUUAUUAAAGGUUAAAAACACUGGUGGAUGGGCUUAUGGCGCAUUAGUUAGUUGGUGAGGUAACGGCCCACCAAGACGAUGAUGCGUAGCCGGCCUGAGAGGGUGAACGGCCACAUUGGGACUGAGACACGGCCCAGACUCCUACGGGAGGCAGCAGUAGGGAAUUUUCGGCAAUGGGGGAAACCCUGACCGAGCAACGCCGCGUGAGUGAUGACGGCCUUCGGGUUGUAAAGCUCUGCUGUAAGGGAAGAACGGUAGAUAGAGAAUAUCUAAAUGACGGUACCUUACCAGAAAGCCACGGCUAACUACGUG